RNAcentral lists this transfer RNA (74 nucleotides) under Candidatus Moraniibacteriota bacterium. Its description in RNAcentral is "tRNA-Pro". It matches the Rfam family "tRNA". Rfam says of the family: Transfer RNA (tRNA) molecules are approximately 80 nucleotides in length. Lineage: Bacteria; Candidatus Moraniibacteriota. The record is from RNAcentral.
CGGGGUGUAGUAUAACGGUAGUACGCACGCAUGGGGUGCGUGUAGCCCGGGUUCAACUCCCGGUAUCCCGACAA